Tetranychus urticae (two-spotted spider mite) is the source of this 2366-nucleotide long non-coding RNA. RefSeq lists it as uncharacterized. The record is from RefSeq and is a predicted model, not a curated record. Lineage: Eukaryota; Metazoa; Arthropoda; Arachnida; Trombidiformes; Tetranychidae.
GAAUUGAAACUUUAUUAAAUUAAUAGUCUUUGAAGUCAAUUUUACAAAGGAUUAUUUCCAGAGGGCAAUGAUAACAAAUAAUGCAUUCCGAUGUUUUGUUUUGAUUUCAUCUUCAAUAAUGAGGCGGUCGUUGCCUGACUGAUAACUGUUCAUCCUGAUACACCGUUAUACCAUGUAAACGUAAGUGAAUGAUUUUUUGGUGGUCUCUGUCCUUUUCUUGGUUUAUAAAUAGUCACAACUGAAAUUCAAGCUGGAUAACACAAGAAAACUAGGCACAAUGAAUAGUUAUCAAAGGUUUAGAACUACUGAAUUCCAAGAUUCGCCACAUCACCAUGAAAAAGAAGAAUAAAAACAAUAAAAAUGACUUGAUUAAUAAAUAUUUUUCAUUAACUAAAAACCUUAAUUGAAGGGAUGAAAUAAAAUAAUCAGCACUGCCAUCUCUCGAUGAAUAACGGAUUCAUUUAAUUCUAUUAAACGGAAUCUUUUUUAUUCAAUUGUAAUAACUUGGAUUGAUUUAAUUUGCUAAUUAACCAUUCUCAUCUAGUUAUGAAGAUUUUACUUUAAUUCGUCAUGAUUUAUCAUUUUAACUAGAUAUUUCUUAAUUAUUUCUGCUUGUUUGAGUUUCCAAAUGAUUUCAAAGUUUGUGUUCCAUCGCUUCAAAGCUAACCAAAAGCUUCUUUUUUCAGGCAAUCAUUUUUAAUUUUUUAAACCAGUUGUAUUGUUUUCGCUGAUUGAAGACCAUUUUCCAGCCUAUGACCCAGUCCAGCAGUUGUAAUGUAAUCUUCAUAUUUUCACAUGCAAAAAUGUUACUCAGGUCACCAACUGUGUAUUUAACCGAAAAAAUACCUCAAGGAAGAUGAUGUUCAUGCUGAUCUUGAUCCCGAAAGAUGAUAACAAAAAGCCAGGAGUACAAAGUAAAUGUUUCAAGACAAGCUUUAAGACCAGAUGCUUAUUACAAACUAAUGGGUGCUAACUAAGGGAACCAUUUGUUUACCUUAAUCAUCUGAACAAUCAGUUAGUGUGGACACUGCACUGGUCGUAUGAAUACCUUGGAUUAACCUUAAUCAAAUAUCAAUGGAUUUGUGGACAAGAUUUUGUUUUUUGCUUUCGCCCUUGCACAUUGAUUGCCAGUAAACAAGAUAUGAGAUCAGACCUGUAGAUCAGUAUUGUUUGCAGAUUAGUAUUAUUUGGUUUACAGUAAUAACCUUUGACAACGUCAACAGUGAAAACAGUUAUUGACAGUGUUUAUUGACAAUUAGUGUUACAGAAAAAAAAGAGAGUUUAAAACUGUUAUCAUUCCAUGUUUAGCUUGUUCAACUUUGAAUAACCAUUAUUAGCUGUAUUGACUGUUCACUUUUUUAGCUGUAUUUCCUUGCGUGAUGCUUUUACUGCAACUAAAUGUGAUAAUAUAUUAAUCGAUCAAUCUUUUACUUUCCAAUGAUUUAGCAAGUUAAAUUGUUGUUUGUAGCAAUUUAACCAAUGAUAGGAAUCAACGUUGAACAAGAAGUCAGACACUUGAAGUCGCUGCAAGGCCUGAGCAAAUACAUGAAUGUUACUGCUUUUUUGACAUAUUUUCAAGUCUAAAUUUUGUUUAUCUCAGCAAAAUAUAACCAAUGACCAUUGGUCAAAGGUUAAACUAAUGGCAUCAAUCGUGUCAAUGCCAUCAGAGGCUGUAAAAUGAUGUAAGAUGAAGAAAAUGUAAAAAUUGUAAAAAUCACAUCAAUUUUUAGUCUUGUUGUUCAGUUAGCUUCAAUUAUCUUUCAAUCUCUCCUUUUCACUGAUCAAUCUCAAUCGUUUCAAUUAAAUGCGAUGACCUUAGUAAUAUGUUAGGUUAAAGGUUGUUUUUUUACUCUCUUUAACCUCGCUGUUGAUUGAAAGGUGAGAUUGGUUUACAUGUUAAAAUUAACAGCAACCAUUUUUAGCUACAAAAGUUAAAAAAAAGGUUAACGUGAAACUGUUAGGAGGUCAAAAUGGCCAAAAAUGUUACUUCCAAUGAUGGAUCGAUUCAUGUAUUUUUUUCGUUAACAUGGUUUCGACCAACAAUUAGACCAACAACGUACACAGAUUUCAGUGUUAAUAACAAUUUAGAUUACAGUUUCACUUUUUUACAAGGUAAAUCAAAAUUGUUAGAAGGGCGUCUCAAUUUAAUGUUUUACCUUUAUUAAAUGAAGAUCAUCAUCAGUUUUCAUUUUCAAGAUUGAUUAUGAUUAUUCAUUGGCAAUAAUAUAAUUUUAUAAAUGCUAUUAUAUUAUAUGAUUGUGAUUGAUGCGAUUAUUGGGAGAGUAAACAAUUAGAGUAAAAAUCUUUUCUGUGUAAUCAACAUCCUUCUUCAAUCUUAGUUGGUCUUAAUUUUAAUUGUUAACAUU